GCUAGUAAUCGCGGAUCAGAAUGCCGCGGUGAAUGCGUUCCCGGGUCUUGUACACACCGCCCGUCACACCAUGGAAGUUGGGGGCGCCCGAAGUUGGUCAAGAAGAGAUUACCUAAGGCGAAACCAAUGACUGGGGUGAAGUCGUAACAAGGUACC
This 156-nucleotide ribosomal RNA is filed under the name uncultured bacterium. Its description in RNAcentral is "partial 16S ribosomal RNA". It matches the Rfam family "Bacterial small subunit ribosomal RNA", at positions 1334 to 1500 of the family's 1533-position model. The record is from RNAcentral.